AUACGGAGGAUCCGAGCGUUAUCCGGAUUUAUUGGGUUUAAAGGGAGCGUAGGUGACAGUUAAGUCAGUUGUGAAAGUUUGCGGCUCAACCGUAAAAUUGCAGUUGAUACUGGCUGUCUUGAGUACAGUAGAGGUGGGCGGAAUUCGUGGUGUAGCGGUGAAAUGCUUAGAUAUCACGAAGAACUCCGAUUGCGAAGGCAGCUCACUGGACUGCAACUGACACUGAUGCUCGAAAGUGUGGGUAUCAAACAGGAUUAGAUACCCUGGUAGUCCACACAGUAAACGAUGAAUACUCGCUGUUUGCGAUAUACAGUAAGCGGCCAAGCGAAAGCAUUAAGUAUUCCACCGGGGGAGUACGCCGGCAACGGUGAAACUCAAAGGAAUUGACGGGG
Molecule: ribosomal RNA, 392 nt
Filed under: uncultured bacterium
Lineage: Bacteria
Description: partial 16S ribosomal RNA
Rfam family: Bacterial small subunit ribosomal RNA
Source: RNAcentral